UGGAGGAAUCACACGAAUGGAAGCU
This 25-nucleotide non-coding RNA is filed under the name Mus musculus (house mouse). Lineage: Eukaryota; Metazoa; Chordata; Mammalia; Rodentia; Muridae. The record is from RNAcentral.